This is a long non-coding RNA of Zonotrichia leucophrys gambelii, 1846 nucleotides long. RefSeq lists it as uncharacterized. The record is from RefSeq and is a predicted model, not a curated record. Lineage: Eukaryota; Metazoa; Chordata; Aves; Passeriformes; Passerellidae. The transcript has 3 exons.
GUUUUGUACCAGGCACAUUGUGCGGAUCUGCUGGGCGCCUCCUGCCUCUCCCCCAAGCAAAGGUUAUCAGGAGGCAGCUACAGCCUCCAAGGGGUCUUUGAGAAAGUGGCCACGUUUCAGACAGGUUUUGGAGAUGCAAGCAUGGAUUUUCCCCACGGGACACCUGACCACGGGGAAUCUGGAAGUGGCAGCACAGAGCUCAGUGCCCUCAGGAGCUGUGCCAGUCCGUGAGACCCCACACAGGCACAAAAACAUCCCCAGGGAGCUGGGAGCACAGCCUGUCCUCGGUGCAGGGCUGGGCACCCCCGGCAGCCGCUGUCCCCACCUGUGCAGCUGCCGGUGCCACCUGCCUGAUAGCGGGCAGGUGCUGUCCCCGUGUCACCUCCCAAAGGCCACACCUGAUCCCGCAGCCGCGCGUGUGGCCAAGCGCCCUCUGACCCGUGCUCAGCAAUCCUCCCGGCACAGAAGCUGGGGUGGGUGGCUCUGCCACCAUCGCUGCGUGUUGUCCCCUGGGAGGGGGCACAGCUCCAGCACCCCAACACCAUUCCCUGCUGGGGAGAAGGGGGACAAAGCAGCACGGCAGCAAGGCAAGGAUUAAGGACCCCAAAAUCAGCCCAUCUCCAUGGCAAAGCCUUCACCCCUCCCUCCUCUUCAUCACUCAAGCAGGCUCCUACGGGAGGUGACAUCCUGAGGAACAUCUGAGGUUGGGCAGCUCAGAGGGGAGAUACAAAAGGUGAUGUGGGCUUGUCUGGGGUAGAUUGGUGUCGUCCUUCAUACAGGGAGCCUCAGGCCAGCAGCUGAGGGACAGAAAGGAGAGGUCAGCAACACCUGGAGGAGCAGAGCCUUGGUGACCCCAGCAGCACCUCUGCUUCUGGAGCUGUGGCAAUGGGGCAGCUGAGGACAUCCUGAUGGGAAGGGAUGUGCUUGGAUGGCCACUUCCAUGGGAAAUGGAGCACACACAGCUCUUCCAAUAGCCAAAGCAGACCAAAAGGAAGGAAUCCUUUAAUUCAAGGCAUGAAUUAAUCCUGGCACCCUCUGCAAGCCCUUCCAAAAGCAGCUCAAUCCCUCAGGGGUGCUGCAGGUUCAGCAGCAUUGUGGGGUGUCCCCCAAGCACACCAGAAGCACCCCAGGAUCCAGCAGCAGGUUCAGCCCUCCUGCACGAUUCCCACUGUGGAUGGAAUACACCAGUGGGGACCAGGAAAGGUCCAGGAGGUGCAGAGGCAACCAAUAAACCCCAUUUUCAUUAGGAUAUCUGGGACAGCCAAGGCCUGACUGAGAGUGGCAGGUCCAAGCUGAGAUGCAGAGUGAGAUCAUCUCUGAAAAACUCUCCCACGCUCUGCCACUUAGCCAGGAAGGGUUUCUUUCAAAUUCCUUCCCCAGAUGAUGAGCUCUGGCAGAGCCUAUGCCAUGGUUCUUGUGCCCUGCUCUACCUGUUCUCUGGGCCUUAAGAGGAGAGGAGGAAGAAAGGAUGAAAAAUCACAUUUACCAAAAUAACCCCCAUCCCCAAAGCCCCCAGCCCACAGCUGAGGGUGCUGGCAAGGGACACCUGAAGCAAACCAUCCAUCCCAAAAUAGAUCCAUCUCAGAGGGCAAAAGGCAAAUUGAAUGAAAAAUAAGUUACUAUUUUUGAAGCCUGAAUCCAGUUGUUAUGGCAACCAAAGCCUGGAGCAUCGUGCUGGGGAAUGGCUCCAGCCCCAGCAAUGCCUCCAAACCUGGCAGACAGGGAAUCACAGGGGCUGCUCCAAGCUGGGGUGGGGAGAUGUCCAUGCUCACAGCACCUGUACCCCACUGGGAUGUGUCCCCUCCCUGCACAGCAGCUCUCCUCAACUCUGCCCACGAGCCCAGCU